UGGGGAAUAUUGGACAAUGGGCGCAAGCCUGAUCCAGCCAUGCCGCGUGAGUGAUGAAGGCCCUAGGGUUGUAAAGCUCUUUCAACGGUGAAGAUAAUGACGGUACCUGCAGAAGAAGAUGCGGCCAACUACGUGCCAGCAGCCGCGGUGACACGUAGGCAUCAAGCGUUAUCCGGAUUUAUUGGGCGUAAAGAGCUCGUAGGCGGUUCGGUAAGUCGGGUGUGAAAACUCUGGGCUCAACCCGAGAGAGGCCACUCGAUACUGCUGUGACUAGAGUGCGGUAGGGGAGCGGGGGAAUUCCUGGUGUAGCGGUGAAAUGCGCAGGAUAUCGAGGAGGAACACCAGUGGCGAAGGCGCCGCUCUGGGCCGUAACUGACGCUGAGGUGCGAAAGUGUGGGGAGCAAAGCAGGAUUAGAUACCCUGGUAGUCCACACCGUAAACGGAUGAAUGCCAGUCGUCGGGUAGCAUGCUA
Molecule: ribosomal RNA, 472 nt
Filed under: uncultured bacterium
Lineage: Bacteria
Description: bacterial SSU rRNA
Rfam family: Bacterial small subunit ribosomal RNA
Source: RNAcentral